GAAACUCAAACACAAAAUGAAGAAUAAGAGGUGUUAUACGGGGAGGGCAUCACCUUUAGCAGUUGGUAGAAGUACUUGUGUUCAAGUUUGACUCAGAAAAUGCCAUUUUUCCAUGUUGUAUAGUUCCUGGGUGGUGUGACACAAUAGCAGGGAGGAACAAAAGUGAGGGGUGGCAGUGCCUUGUAACCCCAAAGUCCAUAGGAACUGGGGGCAAUGCCCAUCCAUUAUAUGACCCAAGGAGUAAGGCAUGAUUUUGUAGGCUUGGUUGUCACUCCCCAGAUACCCACACCAUACUGCCAGCAGUGCAGUGCUGUACCGUAUGGCAGUGACGUCCCCCAUGAAGCUCGGCUGCCUCUGCAUGGAGAACCCAGGGCCCAGCAAAGGCUCUUCAGGUGCCUGGUAGGGUCAGGGGGAUGCUGAUGCCUCUGAGCUUGUUAAAUCCUGUCUGUCUUUUGUGUGUGAUAGGCAAACAACAAUUUUUUAAAGCUUUAAGGCUGCGUAUGGCCUUCUUACAGUCUUUUUGUACCCGGUUGAAGAUGUGUAAACAGACUGCCCCAAAGAGAGGCUGGCAAUACAACAAUCCCAUUCACGAUAUCCCAGGGUGGCAUCACCCAGGGAGGUCACCCUAAAUGCAAGAAAAUGACGAUUGUUAGUGGUGGACCAGGGCUGACAUAAACCCUGGGGAGGGCCUUCAGCGAGGAGUAGGCAAUGGGGACCACCUGAGGUCCUGGCCAAGCUCAGCAGAUGGAGGCUGGGCCGUGCCCCAGGUGUCCCAGCACAGCUGUCCUCCACAGCUCCUUGGCCUCAGCAGCGCAGCUGCAUGGUGGCCCUGUGAGGUUGCUUGGCCUCCUGCACGUGCCUGAAUCAUGCAAGAACAGCAGGUGGCUAACGAGGGUCCGUCGGCCACCCCGUGAUGGCGGACAUGUCCCAGGGACCGAGUGCAGUUUAGGAUUUGGGCCUGCACAAGUCCUGGAGCAGGAAGCCCUCAUGGUGUACACGGUCAGGAUCCACCAGUGUUUAGUUUCUCUUGUGGAGGUGAUGUGAAGCUUAUAAACUUAUUAAUGCCAGUCACCAGUGCUCCUCCUUGGUAUUCAGUGUAAUCUUCAGGAAGUGCCCACCAGCUCUCAGUAAUCCUGUCCUUGGAAAGUUAUCACAACCAUUUGACAAAAGCUUUCCAACAUCUCCCACUCCCUUUACUAUCGUAGGAUGUGAUUUAUCAUUGCAGUCCAGGUGAUCUGACAACUUUUAAGAGUACUAAUUGCCUUAUUAUCCACUCCAGUGCAAGAGUAAAACCUUUUGACAUUUUACUUCCUUCCCUGAGGAAAACAAAUCCUGGUUCCUGGGACAUUACCUUCUGCUGCCUCUGUGAUUACUGGGGCGAAGAAUUUCUCUAGGCCAUUUGCCUUAUCAGCCUCAUCUGUCACCAGCUUCCCAGUCCCUACUCUCAGUUCCCCCUCACUGCUUUGCAUCCUCCGUUAUUUCAUGUAUUUCCAUAUUUUUUUCUUUUGUUUUUUAUUUGUCAUGUCAAUGUUCAUCACAUAUUCCAUUCCUUUUUUUUUUUUCUAUCAAUGUGCUUUUUCACAUCAGGCUCUGUGAUACCUUGCUUCAGUUUUUACUAUUUUUAUAUUAGUGUAGG
This is a long non-coding RNA of Anser brachyrhynchus (Pink-footed goose), 1636 nucleotides long. The record is from Ensembl. Lineage: Eukaryota; Metazoa; Chordata; Aves; Anseriformes; Anatidae.